This 163-nucleotide ribosomal RNA is filed under the name Hymenocallis tubiflora. RNAcentral's name for it is "5.8S ribosomal RNA". It matches the Rfam family "5.8S ribosomal RNA". Rfam says of the family: 5.8S ribosomal RNA (5.8S rRNA) is a component of the large subunit of the eukaryotic ribosome. It is transcribed by RNA polymerase I as part of the 45S precursor that also contains 18S and 28S rRNA. The record is from RNAcentral. Lineage: Eukaryota; Viridiplantae; Streptophyta; Magnoliopsida; Asparagales; Amaryllidaceae.
UGCACGACUCUCGGCAACGGAUAUCUUGGCUCUCGCAUCGAUGAAGAACGUAGCGAAAUGCGAUACUUGGUGUGAAUUGCAGAAUCCCGUGAACCAUCGAGUCUUUGAACGCAAGUUGCGCCCGAGGCCAUCUGGUCAAGGGCACGCCUGCCUGGGCGUCUCG